CAGAACGAACGCUGGCGGCAAGCUUAACACAUGCAAGUCGAACGGAUUGUUAUCAUAGCUUGCUAUGAUAACAAUUAGUGGCAGACGGGUGAGUAAUGCAUAGGAAUCUACCUAGUAGUAUGGGAUAGCCACUAGAAAUGGUGGGUAAUACUGUAUAAUCCCUGCGGGGGAAAGAUUUAUCGCUAUUAGAUGAGCCUAUGUUAGAUUAGCUAGUUGGUAGGGUAAAGGCCUACCAAGGCAGUGAUCUAUAGCUGGUCUGAGAGGAUGAUCAGCCACACUGGAACUGAGAUACGGUCCAGRCUCCUACGGGAGGCAGCAGUGGGGAAUAUUGGACRAUGGGCGCAAGCCUGAUCCAGCUAUGCCGCGUGAGUGAGG
RNAcentral lists this ribosomal RNA (375 nucleotides) under Candidatus Anaplasma camelii. RNAcentral describes it as "bacterial SSU rRNA". It matches the Rfam family "Bacterial small subunit ribosomal RNA", at positions 25 to 410 of the family's 1533-position model. The record is from RNAcentral. Lineage: Bacteria; Pseudomonadati; Pseudomonadota; Alphaproteobacteria; Rickettsiales; Anaplasmataceae.